This 253-nucleotide ribosomal RNA is filed under the name uncultured bacterium. Its description in RNAcentral is "partial 16S ribosomal RNA". It matches the Rfam family "Bacterial small subunit ribosomal RNA", at positions 524 to 776 of the family's 1533-position model. The record is from RNAcentral.
UACAGAGGUCUCAAGCGUUGUUCGGAUUCAUUGGGCGUAAAGGGCGCGUAGGCGGCGGGGUAAGUCGGGUGUGAAAUCUCAGAGCUCAACUCUGAAACUGCACUCGAUACUGCUCUGCUUGAGGACUGGAGAGGAGACUGGAAUUCACGGUGUAGCAGUGAAAUGCGUAGAGAUGUGGAAGAACACCAGUGGCGAAGGCGGUUUUCUAGCUUACUCCUGACGCUGAGGCGCGAAAGCAAGGGGAUCAAACAGG